GACGAACGCUGGCGGCGUGCUUAACACAUGCAAGUCGAACGGAAAGGCCCUGCUUUUGUGGUGUGCCCGUGUGGCGAACGGGUGAGUAACGCGUGCGUAACGUGCCCUUGACUUUGGGAUAACUUCAGGAAACUGGGGCUAAUACCGUAUAGGAGCCCCCGCUGCAUUGUGGGGGUUGGAAAGUUUCUGCGGUUGGGGUUGGACUAGCGGCUUAUCAGCUUGUUGGUGGGGUAGUGGCUUACCAAGGCUUUGACGGGUAGCCGGCCUGAGAGGGUGACCGGCCACACUGGGACUGAGAUACGGCCCAGACUCCUACGGGAGGCAGCAGUGGGGAAUAUUGCACAAUGGGCGGAAGCCUGAUGCAGCAACGCCGCGUGCGGGAUGACGGCCUUCGGGUUGUAAACCGCUUUCGCCAGGGAAGAAGCGAGAGUGACGGUAAUGGGUGAAGAAGCACCGGCUAACUACGUG
This 468-nucleotide ribosomal RNA is filed under the name uncultured bacterium. RNAcentral's name for it is "partial 16S ribosomal RNA". It matches the Rfam family "Bacterial small subunit ribosomal RNA", at positions 28 to 507 of the family's 1533-position model. The record is from RNAcentral.